RNAcentral lists this long non-coding RNA (225 nucleotides) under Elaeis guineensis (African oil palm). Its description in RNAcentral is "long non-coding RNA (EGUI_LNC016251)". Lineage: Eukaryota; Viridiplantae; Streptophyta; Magnoliopsida; Arecales; Arecaceae. The record is from RNAcentral.
UGCUGAAGGUCAUGAUGUCAUGAAGAAGGAAGUCCCAGGAUUUUGAGAGCGUCUCGAUAGAUCUGGUGACGUAAAUAGCGACUUCUGAGGUGGAUGGCGACUACAAUAACCCGGACUAAACCCUCCUAGAAUCAAGUUUUAGGUGACUAACCCUCCGAACCCAUCUUGCGCUAUAGUGCUAAAGGGGGCUUCAGAGGGUUCCUCUGAAGGCGCCUUCAUGGUGGU